GCCGGGAUGGCGGAAUUGGUAGACGCGCUUGGUUUAGGUUCAAGUGGAUUCAUCUGUGCAGGUUCGAGUCCUGUUCCCGGUA
This 82-nucleotide transfer RNA is filed under the name Verrucomicrobiia bacterium AMD-G2. RNAcentral's name for it is "Verrucomicrobiae bacterium AMD-G2 tRNA-Leu". It matches the Rfam family "tRNA". From Rfam's summary of the family: Transfer RNA (tRNA) molecules are approximately 80 nucleotides in length. Their secondary structure includes four short double-helical elements and three loops (D, anti-codon, and T loops). Lineage: Bacteria; Pseudomonadati; Verrucomicrobiota; Verrucomicrobiia. RNAcentral also lists the same sequence under 1 other name. The record is from RNAcentral.